GCCGCGUGAGUGAUGAAGGUUUUCGGAUCGUAAAACUCUGUUGUUAGGGAAGAACAAGUACCGUUCGAAUAGGGCGGUACCUUGACGGUACCUAACCAGAAAGCCACGGCUAACUACGUGCCAGCAGCCGCGGUAAUACGUAGGUGGCAAGCGUUGUCCGGAAUUAUUGGGCGUAAAGCGCGCGCAGGCGGUUUCUUAAGUCUGAUGUGAAAGCCCCCGGCUCAACCGGGGAGGGUCAUUGGAAACUGGGGAACUUGAGUGCAGAAGAGGAGAGUGGAAUUCCACGUGUAGCGGUGAAAUGCGUAGAGAUGUGGAGGAACACCAGUGGCGAAGGCGACUCUCUGGUCUGUAACUGACGCUGAGGCGCGAAAGCGUGGGGAGCGAACAGGAUUAGAUACCCUGGUAGUCCACGCCGUAAACGAUGAGUGCUAAGUGUUAGAGGGUUUCCGCCCUUUAGUGCUGCAGCAAACGCAUUAAGCACUCCGCCUGGGGAGUACGGUCGCAAGACUGAAACUCAAAGGAAUUGACGGGGGCCCGCACAAGCGGUGGAGCAUGUGGUUUAAUUCGAAGCAACGCGAANAACCUUACCAGGUCUUGACAUCCUCUGACAACCCUAGAGAUAGGGCUUCCCC
RNAcentral lists this ribosomal RNA (632 nucleotides) under Bacillus licheniformis. RNAcentral's name for it is "bacterial SSU rRNA". It matches the Rfam family "Bacterial small subunit ribosomal RNA", at positions 396 to 1018 of the family's 1533-position model. The record is from RNAcentral. Lineage: Bacteria; Bacillati; Bacillota; Bacilli; Caryophanales; Bacillaceae.